RNAcentral lists this ribosomal RNA (259 nucleotides) under uncultured bacterium. Its description in RNAcentral is "partial 16S ribosomal RNA". It matches the Rfam family "Bacterial small subunit ribosomal RNA", at positions 575 to 833 of the family's 1533-position model. The record is from RNAcentral.
GCGGUUGAAUAAKCAAGAUGUGAAARCCCAGGGCUCAACCUUGGAACUGCAUUUURAACUGUUCGACUAGAGUACUGUAGAGGGUGGUGGAAUUUCCAGUGUAGCGGUGAAAUGCGUAGAKAUUGGAAGGAACAUCAGUGGCGAAGGCGGCCACCUGGACAGAUACUGACGCUGAGGAACGAAAGCGUGGGGAGCGAACAGGAUUAGAUACCCUGGUAGUCCACGCCGUAAACGAUGUCAACUAGCCGUUUGUGUCCUU